GACAGCAGUAGCCACGGGAAUACGAAGGGGGCUAGCGUUGCUCGGAAUUACUGGGCGUAAAGGGCGCGUAGGCGGAUGUUUAAGUCAGAGGUGAAAGCCCAGGGCUCAACCUUGGAACUGCCUUUGAUACUGGACAUCUUGAGUGUGGGAGAGGUGAGUGGAACUCCGAGUGUAGAGGUGAAAUUCGUAGAUAUUCGGAAGAACACCAGUGGCGAAGGCGACUCACUGGCCCAUUACUGACGCUGAGGCGCGAAAGCGUGGGGAGCAAACAGGAUUAGAUACCCCCGUAGUCCCUGUCUCUUAUAC
RNAcentral lists this ribosomal RNA (306 nucleotides) under uncultured bacterium. Its description in RNAcentral is "partial 16S ribosomal RNA". It matches the Rfam family "Bacterial small subunit ribosomal RNA", at positions 505 to 807 of the family's 1533-position model. The record is from RNAcentral.